RNAcentral lists this ribosomal RNA (460 nucleotides) under uncultured bacterium. Its description in RNAcentral is "partial 16S ribosomal RNA". It matches the Rfam family "Bacterial small subunit ribosomal RNA", at positions 338 to 795 of the family's 1533-position model. The record is from RNAcentral.
CCUACGGGAGGCAGCAGUGAGGAAUAUUGGUCAAUGGACGAGAGUCUGAACCAGCCAAGUAGCGUGAAGGAUGACUGCCCUAUGGGUUGUAAACUUCUUUUAUAUGGGAAUAAAAUGUUCCACGUGUGGGAUUUUGUAUGUCCCAUAUGAAUAAGGAUCGGCUAAUUCCGGGCCAGCAGCCGCGGUAAUACGGAGGAUCCGAGCGUUAUCCGGAUUUAUUGGGUGUAAAGGGUGCGUAGGUGGAUUGUUAAGUCAGUUGUGAAAGUUUGCGGCUCAACCGUAAAAUUGCAGUUGAAACUGGCAGUCUUGAGUACAGUAGAGGUGGGCGGAAUUCGUGGUGUAGCGGUGAAAUGCGUAGAGAUCACGAAGAACUCCGAUUGCGAAGGCAGUUCACUGGACUGCAACUGACACUGAGGCUCGAAAGUGUGGGUAUCAAACAGGAUUAGAUACCCCUGUAGUC